Molecule: non-coding RNA, 618 nt
Organism: Lolium perenne
Lineage: Eukaryota; Viridiplantae; Streptophyta; Magnoliopsida; Poales; Poaceae
Source: RefSeq, a predicted model, not a curated record
CUCCUCCCCUGGAGAUGUCACCGAGAUGUCUUGCGGCGGUGAUGCACAAUGAAGAGAUGGUGGGGCCUUGUGGCGUGCAUGAGGCGGAGGCUCCCCUGGCAGUGCGGUGUCCUUGGCUAGAGUAGGGCGACCUUGCCAGCAACCUUCAUCUCUGACACGUCCUGAGAUGCAAAAUGAGCGGUACAAGUUUGGGGUCAAAUGCAUUGUUUACUAAAAGGAAAGCUUUAUGAUUUUGCAAUCUGCUUUCCUAAAAUGUAAAGGUUCGUUUGUUAAUUUGUUCAACCUUUUGAGCCUUUGAUUUUAGCCUGUAGCUCCUGGUGAAGGAAGAAAUAACUGAUGGAAUAUUAGAAGGUUGCUGCAGAUCGGUACUGAAAUCCAGGCUGCCCGGUUUUCUUCUUGGACUUGCACAAGCUCCCUCUGACGAAAGCAGUUAGAUACUUGAACAAGAGAAGCUAUUUUGGCAUCCCCUGAUUACUACUUACACUCCUGUACUAGACAAGGAUGAGGUGAAGGUCAAAAUAUGUGUGAACCGGGGGAUGACUCUUCUUCUGAUGAUGAGAACAUGCUAGAUCGAGAUGCUCGGAUGACGAGAUCAUUACACUUGCAAGAGAUGAGAGC